This 204-nucleotide long non-coding RNA is filed under the name Phoenix dactylifera (date palm). RNAcentral describes it as "long non-coding RNA (PDAC_LNC021003)". The record is from RNAcentral. Lineage: Eukaryota; Viridiplantae; Streptophyta; Magnoliopsida; Arecales; Arecaceae.
CAGCUGUUCGCGUCUAUAUGGAAGGCUAAACUCGUCACUAGGGCUGGAUGAAGCUCUAACAGAGAAAUAAGGGUUUUGUAUAUUUAAUUUUCUGUUCUUGGAGUUGUAUGAAUCCUCUUACUCUUAAAUAAACAUUUUUCUUUCAUCUCAUAUUUAAUUUCUGUGAUUUUAAGUAUGAUAUUCGUACAACUGUUUUCCAUGAUC